This 1287-nucleotide ribosomal RNA is filed under the name metagenome. RNAcentral describes it as "bacterial SSU rRNA". It matches the Rfam family "Bacterial small subunit ribosomal RNA", at positions 242 to 1520 of the family's 1533-position model. The record is from RNAcentral.
UAGCUAGUUGGUGAGGUAAAGGCUCACCAAGGCGACGAUCUGUAGCGGGUCUGAGGGGAUGAUCCGCCACACUGGAACUGAGACACGGUCCAGACUCCUACGGGAGGCAGCAGUGGGGAAUUUUGGACAAUGGGGGCAACCCUGAUCCAGCCAUGCCGCGUGAGUGAAGAAGGCCUUCGGGUUGUAAAGCUCUUUCGGCCGGGAAGAAAUCGCAUGGGCCAAUACCCUGUGCGGAUGACGGUACCGGCAUAAGAAGCACCGGCUAACUACGUGCCAGCAGCCGCGGUAAUACGUAGGGUGCGAGCGUUAAUCGGAAUUACUGGGCGUAAAGCGUGCGCAGGCGGUUUUGUAAGACAGGCGUGAAAUCCCCGGGCUCAACCUGGGAACUGCGUUUGUGACUGCAAGGCUAGAGUACGGCAGAGGGGGGUGGAAUUCCACGUGUAGCAGUGAAAUGCGUAGAGAUGUGGAGGAACACCAAUGGCGAAGGCAGCCCCCUGGGUCGAUACUGACGCUCAUGCACGAAAGCGUGGGUAGCAAACAGGAUUAGAUACCCUGGUAGUCCACGCCCUAAACGAUGUCAACUAGGUGUUGGGUGGGUAAAACCAUUUAGUACCGGAGCUAACGCGUGAAGUUGACCGCCUGGGGAGUACGGCCGCAAGGUUAAAACUCAAAGGAAUUGACGGGGACCCGCACAAGCGGUGGAUGAUGUGGAUUAAUUCGAUGCAACGCGAAAAACCUUACCUACCCUUGACAUGUCCAGAAGCCUGAAGAGAUUUGGGUGUGCCCGAAAGGGAACUGGAACACAGGUGCUGCAUGGCUGUCGUCAGCUCGUGUCGUGAGAUGUUGGGUUAAGUCCCGCAACGAGCGCAACCCUUGUCGUUAAUUGCCAUCAUUCAGUUGGGCACUUUAACGAGACUGCCGGUGACAAACCGGAGGAAGGUGGGGAUGACGUCAAGUCCUCAUGGCCCUUAUGGGUAGGGCUUCACACGUCAUACAAUGGUCGGUACAAAGGGUUGCCAAGCCGCGAGGUGGAGCCAAUCCCAGAAAGCCGAUCGUAGUCCGGAUCGUAGGCUGCAACUCGCCUGCGUGAAGUCGGAAUCGCUAGUAAUCGUGGAUCAGCAUGUCACGGUGAAUACGUUCCCGGGUCUUGUACACACCGCCCGUCACACCAUGGGAGCGGGUUCCGCCAGAAGUAGGUAGCCUAACCGCAAGGGGGGCGCUUACCACGGCGGGGUUCGUGACUGGGGUGAAGUCGUAACAAGGUAGCCGUAGGGGAACCUGCGGCUG